CUACAUUUCACCGAGUGUUUUUCCUGCCGCGGAUGCUGCGUCAAGUCCUUUCCAGGGCAGCGUGACCACCAUGUGGCUCGGGAGUUGGCAGGCGUUCAGUGAAUACAACACAGUUCAGAACGCUCCAAGUUGUGACGUCUAAGGUUGUUAUGAAAAACCAUAAACCACCAGCAACAGAGAAGAUCACCCUGGCUGCUCUACAGAGAGAACAGAGAAAGGAUCCUUGAAGGAGGGACGUGGAAGCAAGGUGAUCAAUUAAGAAGCUACUGCAGCCAUGAAGGCAACAGAUGAGGAAACUUAGUCCCGGGAAUUUGCUGAGGCACUGAAGCAGAUUCCUUGGAUUUCAACAUCACUCAGCUUUUCUUGAGAAAUACUUCCUCUGCCAUCCGGCGCCCCAAGCCCGUCUCCCGGUGAAGCCCGUUUCCUACCCCAUAUGGGAGCAGCAGUCUACACACACUCUCGGGACUGCAGGAAGGAUAACCUGAAGAGCCUCACUUUGGCCACUGGACCUUGAAGCAGCUAAAGCAAAACCGAAAACACAGCCCAGUCCAAGGGAGUCCUCCCAUAGGAUGAGAUAACCCCGGGCGAUGCGUGUACUUCCUGGAAUGGGCAGUGCUGCAGGCUGUCGAGCUACAGGCACCCAAGGUGCAUCAUCCAGACGCCUCAAUUUUCCUUCCAGGUUUUUUGGGGAAGAUAUCAUUUUAAGGUCUAACAAACUCCCAGGUGAUGCUUGCUGCUGGUCCAAGACCACACUUGGAGUGACAAGACCCAGCCUUCCACUCUCUUCCAAGUUCCCGGUGUCACCUACUACAGCUAUAACCACAGCAACCCGGCUGGAGGGAAAGUAUGGAAACUCCUACUCAUCCUUCUAGAUUCAGUGAAUCUGGGCUGACCGUGCUACUUGCUUUAACCAAUGGAAUUAAGUGAUGCUGAGCCAGUUCUGAGCCUAAGCCUUGAGAAAGUCCGGCAGCUCCUGCACUGCACAUUUGGAGGAGGACUGAGUCACCAUGGAAAGAAAUCUGGCUCUUCUGUUGGAGAGACCACAUGGGGUGCAGGGGGUAGAGGAGCCCUGAGACCAUGUGGAGAAAGAGAGGAGACCACACCUCUCAGCAUUCCAGCUGAGCUCAACCUUCCAGCCACCCUCACUAGGAUGCCAGACAAGUGAGUGAGCCAUCUUGGACAUGCUGGCCUCCUUGAGCCCCCAAAUGACCACAGUCCCAGCUGACAUCAUAAGGAGCAGAAGAAUCACCCAGAUGAGCCCACUCAACCGACAGAAUUGUGAGGGAUUAAAAAAACAAAACCACAUUGUUGUUUUAAGCCAUUAAAUUUUAUGAUUGUUAUGCAACAACAGAUUAUAACCAAAAG
This is a long non-coding RNA of Camelus dromedarius (Arabian camel), 1365 nucleotides long. RefSeq lists it as uncharacterized. NCBI's taxonomy places the organism in Eukaryota, Metazoa, Chordata, Mammalia, Artiodactyla, Camelidae. The transcript has 9 exons. The record is from RefSeq and is a predicted model, not a curated record.